AGCAGUGUAGCCAUGUGGAUAUAGCACCAGCCUGGGAGUUAGAAAGACCUGGGUUCCAAUCCCAGCUCUGCCA
RNAcentral lists this transfer RNA (73 nucleotides) under Ornithorhynchus anatinus (platypus). It matches the Rfam family "tRNA". Rfam says of the family: Transfer RNA (tRNA) molecules are approximately 80 nucleotides in length. Their secondary structure includes four short double-helical elements and three loops (D, anti-codon, and T loops). Lineage: Eukaryota; Metazoa; Chordata; Mammalia; Monotremata; Ornithorhynchidae. The record is from Rfam by way of RNAcentral.